UACAGAGGUGGCGAGCGUUAUUCGGAAUUAUUGGGCGUAAAGGGCGCGUAGGCGGCUUGACAAGUCCCGGGUGAAAUCCCUCGGCUCAACCGAGGAACUGCCUUGGAAACUGUCUGGCUUGAGGCCGGGAGAGGGUAGUGGAAUUCCCAGUGUAGCGGUGAAAUGCGUAGAUACUGGGAGGAACACCGGUGGCGAAGGCGGCUACCUGGACCGGUUCUGACGCUGAGGCGCGAAAGCGUGGGGAGCAAACGGG
This 253-nucleotide ribosomal RNA is filed under the name uncultured bacterium. Its description in RNAcentral is "partial 16S ribosomal RNA". It matches the Rfam family "Bacterial small subunit ribosomal RNA", at positions 524 to 776 of the family's 1533-position model. The record is from RNAcentral.